GUACACGCUGUGACUAGCAUAUCAAUAAGCGGAGGAAAAGAAACUAACAAGGAUUCCCCUAGUAACGGCGAGUGAAGCGGGAAGAGCUCAAAUUUGAAAUCUUAAAGGGUUUCCCUUUACGAAUUGUAGUUUAAAGAAGUGUUUUCUGUUGAGGUUUUGGUAAAAGUUCUUUGGAAUAGGACAUCAUAGAGGGUGAGAAUCCCGUAUUUGACCUUUACUUUCAACUUUGUGAUACACUUUCAAAGAGUCGGAUUGUUUGGGAAUGCAGUCCAAAAUGGGUGGUAAAUUUCAUCUAAAGCUAAAUAUUGGCGAGAGACCGAUAGCGAACAAGUACCGUGAGGGAAAGAUGAAAAGAACUUUGAAAAGAGAGUUAAACAGUACGCUGAAAUUGUCAAAAGGGAAGCGUUUGACACCAGUGUUGUUUUUCUGAAAAUCAAUUAAAGAACUGUUUAUGCUAAGCUGUUUAGACUUUAUCAGCUAACUGUUUAGUUUUGAGCUUUUCUUUAAUGCACUUUUCAGUUAACAAGUCAACAUCAAUUUCUUUUGCUGUAAAAAAGCUUGAGGAAGGUGGCUUGAGAUUCGUCUUAAGUGUUUAUAGCCUCUUGCCUAUGCAGUCGGAGAGAUUGAGGUCUGCAGCGUAGAUCCUUCGGGGCUAAAUGCAUUUGUGCUAAGUUAUAGCAUUUUAUAGACAACUUGUUGACUAUGAUUUGUCUUGUAGCUUACUCGCUUAUGUUAUUUUACCUACGCUUAGGAUGUUGAGUCGUAGAGCACGCAG
This 775-nucleotide ribosomal RNA is filed under the name uncultured Neocallimastigales. RNAcentral's name for it is "partial large subunit ribosomal RNA". It matches the Rfam family "Eukaryotic large subunit ribosomal RNA", at positions 22 to 628 of the family's 3401-position model. Lineage: Eukaryota; Fungi; Neocallimastigomycota; Neocallimastigomycetes; Neocallimastigales. The record is from RNAcentral.